This 2876-nucleotide ribosomal RNA is filed under the name Salmonella enterica subsp. enterica serovar Typhimurium. RNAcentral's name for it is "partial 23S ribosomal RNA". It matches the Rfam family "Bacterial large subunit ribosomal RNA". The record is from RNAcentral. Lineage: Bacteria; Pseudomonadati; Pseudomonadota; Gammaproteobacteria; Enterobacterales; Enterobacteriaceae.
GUGAUAUGAACCGUUAUAACCGGCGAUACCCGAAUGGGGAAACCCAGUGUGAUUCGUCACACUAUCAUUAACUGAAUCCAUAGGUUAAUGAGGCGAACCGGGGGAACUGAAACAUCUAAGUACCCCGAGGAAAAGAAAUCAACCGAGAUUCCCCCAGUAGCGGCGAGCGAACGGGGAGGAGCCCAGAGCCUGAAUCAGCAUGUGUGUUAGUGGAAGCGUCUGGAAAGGCGCGCGAUACAGGGUGACAGCCCCGUACACAAAAGCGCAUGUGCUGUGAGCUCGAUGAGUAGGGCGGGACACGUGGUAUCCUGUCUGAAUAUGGGGGGACCAUCCUCCAAGGCUAAAUACUCCUGACUGACCGAUAGUGAACCAGUACCGUGAGGGAAAGGCGAAAAGAACCCCGGCGAGGGGAGUGAAAAAGAACCUGAAACCGUGUACGUACAAGCAGUGGGAGCNNGUGACUGCGUACCUUUUGUAUAAUGGGUCAGCGACUUAUAUUCUGUAGCAAGGUUAACCGUAUAGGGGAGCCGGAGGGAAACCGAGUCUUAAUUGGGCGUUAAGUUGCAGGGUAUAGACCCGAAACCCGGUGAUCUAGCCAUGGGCAGGUUGAAGGUUGGGUAACACUAACUGGAGGACCGAACCGACUAAUGUUGAAAAAUUAGCGGAUGACCUGUGGCUGGGGGUGAAAGGCCAAUCAAACCGGGAGAUAGCUGGUUCUCCCCGAAAGCUAUUUAGGUAGCGCCUCGUGAAUUCAUCUCCGGGGGUAGAGCACUGUUUCGGCUAGGGGGCCAUCCCGGCUUACCAACCCGAUGCAAACUGCGAAUACCGGAGAAUGUUAUCACGGGAGACACACGGCGGGUGCUAACGUCCGUCGUGAAGAGGGAAACAACCCAGACCGCCAGCUAAGGUCCCAAAGUCAUGGUUAAGUGGGAAACGAUGUGGGAAGGCCCAGACAGCCAGGAUGUUGGCUUAGAAGCAGCCAUCAUUUAAAGAAAGCGUAAUAGCUCACUGGUCGAGUCGGCCUGCGCGGAAGAUGUAACGGGGCUAAACCAUGCACCGAAGCUGCGGCAGCGAACGUAUCACCCAAGACAACUUUACGGAGUUGACGAUUGACGGAGCGAAGCGACGUCAAAGCGUUCAUUAAAGUCGAGUUGGCUUAGGGAUACGUUCGUUGGGUAGGGGAGCGUUCUGUAAGCCUGUGAAGGUGUGUCGUGAGGCAUGCUGGAGGUAUCAGAAGUGCGAAUGCUGACAUAAGUAACGAUAAAGCGGGUGAAAAGCCCGCUCGCCGGAAGACCAAGGGUUCCUGUCCAACGUUAAUCGGGGCAGGGUGAGUCGACCCCUAAGGCGAGGCCGAAAGGCGUAGUCGAUGGGAAACGGGUUAAUAUUCCCGUACUUGGUGUUACUGCGAAGGGGGGACGGAGAAGGCUAUGUUGGCCGGGCGACGGUUGUCCCGGUUUAAGCGUGUAGGUGUGUGUUCCAGGUAAAUCCGGUUCACUUUAACACUGAGGCGUGACGACGAGGCACUACGGUGCUGAAGCAACAAAUGCCCUGCUUCCAGGAAAAGCCUCUAAGCAUCAGGUAACAUCAAAUCGUACCCCAAACCGACACAGGUGGUCAGGUAGAGAAUACCAAGGCGCUUGAGAGAACUCGGGUGAAGGAACUAGGCAAAAUGGUGCCGUAACUUCGGGAGAAGGCACGCUGACACGUAGGUGAAGUGAUUUACUCAUGGAGCUGAAGUCAGUCGAAGAUACCAGCUGGCUGCAACUGUUUAUUAAAAACACAGCACUGUGCAAACACGAAAGUGGACGUAUACGGUGUGACGCCUGCCCGGUGCCGGAAGGUUAAUUGAUGGGGUCAGCGCAAGCGAAGCUCCUGAUCGAAGCCCCGGUAAACGGCGGCCGUAACUAUAACGGUCCUAAGGUAGCGAAAUUCCUUGUCGGGUAAGUUCCGACCUGCACGAAUGGCGUAAUGAUGGCCAGGCUGUCUCCACCCGAGACUCAGUGAAAUUGAACUCGCUGUGAAGAUGCAGUGUACCCGCGGCAAGACGGAAAGACCCCGUGAACCUUUACUAUAGCUUGACACUGAACAUUGAGCCUUGAUGUGUAGGAUAGGUGGGAGGCUUUGAAGUGUGGACGCCAGUCUGCAUGGAGCCGACCUUGAAAUACCACCCUUUAAUGUUUGAUGUUCUAACGUGGACCCGUAAUCCGGGUUGCGGACAGUGUCUGGUGGGUAGUUUGACUGGGGCGGUCUCCUCCUAAAGAGUAACGGAGGAGCACGAAGGUUGGCUAAUCCUGGUCGGACAUCAGGAGGUUAGUGCAAUGGCAUAAGCCAGCUUGACUGCGAGCGUGACGGCGCGAGCAGGUGCGAAAGCAGGUCAUAGUGAUCCGGUGGUUCUGAAUGGAAGGGCCAUCGCUCAACGGAUAAAAGGUACUCCGGGGAUAACAGGCUGAUACCGCCCAAGAGUUCAUAUCGACGGCGGUGUUUGGCACCUCGAUGUCGGCUCAUCACAUCCUGGGGCUGAAGUAGGUCCCAAGGGUAUGGCUGUUCGCCAUUUAAAGUGGUACGCGAGCUGGGUUUAGAACGUCGUGAGACAGUUCGGUCCCUAUCUGCCGUGGGCGCUGGAGAACUGAGGGGGGCUGCUCCUAGUACGAGAGGACCGGAGUGGACGCAUCACUGGUGUUCGGGUUGUCAUGCCAAUGGCACUGCCCGGUAGCUAAAUGCGGAAGAGAUAAGUGCUGAAAGCAUCUAAGCACGAAACUUGCCCCGAGAUGAGUUCUCCCUGAGACUUAGAGUCUCCUGAAGGAACGUUGAAGACGACGACGUUGAUAGGCCGGGUGUGUAAGCGCAGCGAUGCGUUGAGCUAACCGGUACUAAUG